AUCCAGAUGACGAGUCCCAAAAAUAGGACGAAAUGUGCAUCUUGACUGUAU
RNAcentral lists this non-coding RNA (51 nucleotides) under Trichobilharzia regenti. The record is from RNAcentral. Lineage: Eukaryota; Metazoa; Platyhelminthes; Trematoda; Strigeidida; Schistosomatidae.